Molecule: ribosomal RNA, 132 nt
Filed under: uncultured Ascomycota
Lineage: Eukaryota; Fungi; Ascomycota
Description: partial small subunit ribosomal RNA
Rfam family: Eukaryotic small subunit ribosomal RNA
Source: RNAcentral
GUCGCUACUACCGAUUGAAUGGCUCGGUGAGGCCUUCGGACUGGCCCAGGGAGGUCGGCAACGACCACCCAGGGCCGGAAAGUUGGUCAAACCCGGUCAUUUAGAGGAAGUAAAAGUCGUAACAAGGUCUCC